Molecule: long non-coding RNA, 1159 nt
Organism: Raphanus sativus (radish)
Lineage: Eukaryota; Viridiplantae; Streptophyta; Magnoliopsida; Brassicales; Brassicaceae
Exons: 6
Source: RefSeq, a predicted model, not a curated record
CAACUGGUAGAGAUAAGCGUUCUGCAGCCUCUCAAGCACAUUCUUCGCGUCUAUAUCCUCCACAAGACUCAGGUGGCACGCGUCUUUCAGAUCAGCAAUGUCAUACUUAUCAGCUGCUUGGAGAAGCGCCAACCUGUCAUGUAGAAACAUGCUGCGGAAAACAGUUGAACGGGCUGCUAGAACAGCUCGGUGUGCUCCGAUGCUUCCACCAGAGGCAUUGAUCGUUACGUCUGUGUAGAUGCUUUCUGUCAACAUACGUCCUAGGGAUGUCACCGCUGUAACUUCUGAUUGGUUCUGCGUUGAACCGUCUGCCCAAAUCGAGUAGAACUCUCCACUCUGCCAAGUCAUCAGAACUUUGAGGUCAAGAAACUCGACGUCGAUGAUGAUUUUUCCAGUUAAGGGAACUUCAAUGGUCCAGAGGAAAUCUUCAAACAAAGCAAGAUGUUCUUGUCUCUUACCUGGAUGAGAAAAAGCUUUCCUCUCACCAGAAGAAGAGACAACACGAAGAACAAAGGAAGCAACAGGUGAAAUAAAAAGAAAGGAGAGAGAGAGUACCAGUUCCAAAGACCCAUCUUGAAAGGAUCGGACUUGCGGUAAGUGGAAGAAGAGAGGUUGUGGAUACGCCAUUGGGCGAGCCUGGAGGUGGUGUCUACUCUGUAAGCUGAAUCAGUCAUCCUAGAGAAAGCCAGAGCUGCAGAGAUGUCAUAGAUGCAAUCCAACAAACCCUCCAGCAGAUUCUCCCCUGACUUUCCCAGGUGCAGUCAGAGAGAAUCAAGGAGAGAAUGGGGUUUAGGGAGAUGAAUUGUUUAAUGGAUUGGAGGAAUCAUUAGCGUUUCUUGGAUUGGUAAUUCUUCUGGGGAAGCAAAGUCUGUGCUUUGCUUUUACGUCAUUUGAAAGAGAGAGACAUGGGGAAAGAGUAAAGUGUGUUUGGUUCUUUGUGUUCCUUACACUUGGCUUUAUUUCUCACACUGGCCCCAGUCUUAUGGGGCGUGUGUCUCUUUUAUUGGACUGUCUUUAAGUCUUCUCUUCCAACUAAAUUUUAGACUUUAGGUUUAUUGACAAUUCAAGAUUUAUUGGCUUGGAUAUGGUUUAUGGUUUAUGUUUUAUCCUUUAAGGAUUAUAAAUUGAUCUCAUGUUAUGCAUAGUAUUUUUUUUUUGU